UACGUAGGGUGCAAGCGUUAAUCGGAAUUACUGGGCGUAAAGGGCGCGUAGGCGGCCUGCUAAGUCGAACGUGAAAUCCCCGAGCUCAACUCGGGAACUGCGUCCGAUACUGGCAGGCUUGAAUCCGGGAGAGGGAUGCGGAAUUCCAGGUGUAGCGGUGAAAUGCGUAGAUAUCUGGAGGAACACCGGUGGCGAAGGCGGCAUCCUGGACCGGCAUUGACGCUGAGGCGCGAAAGCCAGGGGAGCAAACGGG
RNAcentral lists this ribosomal RNA (253 nucleotides) under uncultured bacterium. RNAcentral describes it as "partial 16S ribosomal RNA". It matches the Rfam family "Bacterial small subunit ribosomal RNA", at positions 524 to 776 of the family's 1533-position model. The record is from RNAcentral.